Non-coding RNA from Schistosoma haematobium, 45 nucleotides. NCBI's taxonomy places the organism in Eukaryota, Metazoa, Platyhelminthes, Trematoda, Strigeidida, Schistosomatidae. The record is from Rfam.
AUCCAGCUGACGAGUUCCAAACAGGACGAAAUACAUGCCCGGUAU